RNAcentral lists this small RNA (574 nucleotides) under Pongo abelii (Sumatran orangutan). Its description in RNAcentral is "processed transcript". Lineage: Eukaryota; Metazoa; Chordata; Mammalia; Primates; Hominidae. The record is from RNAcentral.
GAGAGCCACGUGGGUCGAGCUGGGGCGCAGCUCGCAUGGGGGAGUCUAUCCCGCUGGCCGCCCCGGUCCCGGUGGAACAGGCGGUGCUGGAGACGUUCUUCUCUCACCUGGGUAUCUUCUCUUACGACAAGGCUAAGGACAAUGUGGAGAAGGAACGAGAGGCCAACAAGAGCGCGGGGGGCAGCUGGCUGUCGCUGCUGGCGGCCUUGGCGCACCUGGCCGCGGCCGAGAAGGUCUAUCACAGCCUCACCUACCUGGGGCAGAAACUAGGUACCUCCGCCCCGCCCCCCGAGCCCCUUGAGGAGGAAGGAAAGGGGGUAUAUUCCCCAGUCGGCAGUGGCUUGGGUUUCCCGUCUCUGUGUCACUUCUAGUCGCAGGCUCGACUCGGCAUUCCCAGAUCUCCUCCCACCGUUCCUUUCCUUCCCUAGGCUUCCACAAGCCCCGCCCACCGGCCUGCGCUGCUGAUAGAUUGGCGAACUGGGUAGAUGCUCUUUGCAGGGCUGUGACCCAAACCGAAGGGUUUGCCCUUUUGCCUCGUGCAUGGAUUGAUGCCAUAAAUGAGAAGUUAACCAAA